UGGCUGAAGAUGGCUUGAAACUUUUUAGGUCUUGUCUGCUUAUGCUGUCCAGGAAUAUUCACUGCCCUUUUCGGCAUGGUAGGUGGAGGGCAGGUCUACCCAACUGCAGCCAAUAACGCGAAUAUUGAUUGGUGGUAGCAUCAAUAACAUAUUUGGUCCCCGUCUCACCCUCUCCGCUGGCUGCUCUACUUCACGCUGGCUCUUUCCUUUAUUACAACUACCACCACCACAGCCAAC
Molecule: unclassified non-coding RNA, 237 nt
Filed under: Hevea brasiliensis (rubber tree)
Lineage: Eukaryota; Viridiplantae; Streptophyta; Magnoliopsida; Malpighiales; Euphorbiaceae
Source: RNAcentral